This is a non-coding RNA of Thamnophis sirtalis, 642 nucleotides long. Lineage: Eukaryota; Metazoa; Chordata; Lepidosauria; Squamata; Natricidae. The record is from the annotation of a RefSeq genome assembly.
AAUAUCAGCCAUAUAAACUGUGAGAUUAAUGCACUGAGGGGCAUCGUUAUACCUAGAAAUAUGUAAAUGAAGGUACAAUUUCCCCUUUAAAGGAGCCGCUUGGUUUCCCUUUUCAGGCUACACCCAACCACGCAAAGUUUGUGCACCUUCCUCAAUCCAUUCCUAUCCAUUCCUUUCAUUGGUUACAGGGAGCAAAAAAUGAUCCUGUGGCUGAAUUUGGUGCCCUUCUUAGUCUUCCUUCAAGGUGUCCGAUGUGAGAUCCAGUUGGUGGAGUCUGGAGGGGAUGUGAGAAGACCUGGGGAGUCCCUCCGUCUCUCCUGCCAAGCCUCUGGAUUCUCCUUCAGCAGCUAUUGGAUGUACUGGGUGAGGCAGGCUCCAGGGAAAGGACUGGAAUGGGUGGCCCACAUAAAUGCAGGCUCAUCUCCUUUAACUCGCUACCCACAAAAAGUGAAGGGACGCUUCACCAUCUCCAGGGAUGAUUCUCGCAGCCAGCUGUAUCUGAAAAUGAACAGUCUCAAACUGAAGGAUUCUGCUGUUUAUUACUGUGCGAGAGACACAGUGAGAGGAAGCCAAGCAAAAACUAUUUUUUUUCCUCCGAGCAGCUUUCUGAAUAAAAUCAGAAAGUCAAAUUUCCAUAUUUAA